UACGAAGGGGGCAAGCGUUGUUCGGAAUUACUGGGCGUAAAGGGCGCGCAGGCGGCCUCUCAAGUCAGAUGUGAAAGCCCCGGGCUCAACCUGGGAAUAGCAUUUGGGACUGUGAGGCUAGAGAUCGGGAGAGGAGAGUGGAAUUCCCAGUGUAGAGGUGAAAUUCGUAGAUAUUGGGAAGAACACCAGUGGCGAAGGCGGCUCUCUGGACCGAUACUGACGCUGAGGCGCGAAAGCGUGGGGAGCAAACAGG
Molecule: ribosomal RNA, 253 nt
Filed under: uncultured bacterium
Lineage: Bacteria
Also listed under: 2 other names
Description: partial 16S ribosomal RNA
Rfam family: Bacterial small subunit ribosomal RNA
Source: RNAcentral